Molecule: small RNA, 462 nt
Filed under: Oryza sativa Japonica Group (Japanese rice)
Lineage: Eukaryota; Viridiplantae; Streptophyta; Magnoliopsida; Poales; Poaceae
Description: sRNA Os08g0156950
Source: RNAcentral
GCUACUCACAUUAUCAUGAUCCAUGUGCCGAAGCAGCUUGAUCUCUCGCAGGGUGCGCUUGGCGUCGAUCUGGUUGUCGAACGCGUUGCCGAUCUUCUUGAUUGCCACCUCCUGACGAGUCUGCGCAUUCACAACCGCACUGCGCAAUUAACAAUCCAGAGGAGGAAGAAUCAGAAUUAGAUGGAGAUGAACUGAAGUGAAAGUCUGAAACUGACCAGAUGAUGCCGCAGGCGCCGCGGCCGACGGGGCGGAUGGGAGGGACGUACUUGGACGAAACCUCGAACAGGUUACCAUACACGUUGUACUGCACGUACCUCCCGCCGUGCGUCAGCGUCCCCUUGAUCUGCGCCUCCCCUCCUCCGAUGCCACCGUGAUGGCCAUGGCCACCGCCGCCGCCGCCGUGAUGGCCAUGGCCGCCGCCGCCGCCGCCCUCCAUGCGCAUCGAUCGAUCGCCGCCCAAGA